This 457-nucleotide long non-coding RNA is filed under the name Malus domestica (apple). RNAcentral's name for it is "long non-coding RNA (MDOM_LNC000677)". The record is from RNAcentral. Lineage: Eukaryota; Viridiplantae; Streptophyta; Magnoliopsida; Rosales; Rosaceae.
CCGGUGCAACAAACGUACCCUUAGGGUUUAACUUGGCAGAAAAGAGUUGCACGUGGAGCUUCAUAGCUCCAUAGAUAACGUGUUGGUGAAAACUCGAAGAUACCUUUUAGUAUUUUCUCCCAUCGUCACUUAACCCUGAUGACUUCAAUUUUUAUUCUGCAAUUGUCAAAACGUUAUCUAAGUUAACAUGAAAUGUUUUAAAAUGUUGUGAACAAUAAUAAUUUUAAUUUGGUUUUUUAGUCAAAAUGAUCCAUGAAAUCUUUGAGUUUGUCUACCAUCAAUCAUUUUGGUCAUUCCUUGAAAAAUUAAUGUAAAUAUGGACCAAAUAACAAAAAUAUUCUCAAUCAAAUAAACAAUUGACCAAAACGAUAUGACAAAAAUUGAGGGUAUUUUUGACAUUUUAUCCUUAUAUAAUAAAGAUUUUUUAAGGAAUUACCAAAAUGAUUGAUGAUGGACA